Molecule: small nuclear RNA, 236 nt
Filed under: Jaculus jaculus (lesser Egyptian jerboa)
Lineage: Eukaryota; Metazoa; Chordata; Mammalia; Rodentia; Dipodidae
Description: 7SK RNA (ENSJJAG00000005367.1)
Rfam family: 7SK RNA (bases 1-190)
About the family: 7SK was discovered as an abundant small nuclear RNA in the mid-70s but a possible function has only recently been suggested. Two independent studies have found that 7SK RNA binds the CDK9/cyclin T complex (known as elongation factor P-TEFb). P-TEFb activates transcription by phosphorylating the C-terminal domain of RNA polymerase II.
Source: RNAcentral
GGAUGUGAGGGCGAUCUGGCUGCGACAUCUGUCACCCCGCUGAUCGCCAGGGCUGAUCUGGCUGGUGAGACAGGCGUCCCUUCCUUUCCCACAGCUCUACGUGUGCCUCUCCUGAAGCUGCUCAGCUCCCUGCUAGAACCUCCACACCGGCUCUCGAGUGCUGGCAGAAAUAAUGGUGGUAGGUGUGUACCACCACCCUGCCCUCCGCCUGAGGUCUUAGUCACAAUGUCAUGUGU